GUUUUAGUAGUUUAAACUCAAAACGCUGGUCUUGUAAAUCAGCAAUAAGUCUCCCGUUCUUCUAAAACU
RNAcentral lists this transfer RNA (69 nucleotides) under Anelytra obtusa. Its description in RNAcentral is "tRNA-Thr". It matches the Rfam family "tRNA". From Rfam's summary of the family: Transfer RNA (tRNA) molecules are approximately 80 nucleotides in length. Their secondary structure includes four short double-helical elements and three loops (D, anti-codon, and T loops). Lineage: Eukaryota; Metazoa; Arthropoda; Insecta; Orthoptera; Tettigoniidae. The record is from RNAcentral.